AUUCUCCCUCCCAGGCUCUGCACGCUGCGUGGCCCACGCGGGGCUCGGGAGACAGCUCAAAAGACUCCCCAAGGCUGGGAAAGGAGGGAGGGAGGGGCCGCGGGGCACCGUGGUGGUGGGGGAGAUACUUUGAUGGAAAAAAAAGGUCAAACUUCAUCAGCCCGCCGGGCACCCCGCGGGCAGCGGGGGCGAGGAGCCGGAGGAAAAAUGCAGAAGUAGCCGCCGCUUCUUCCAAGUGGUGGGGGAGGCUCAGCCACGCGUGGUCGAGGGCGCCCAGAGCAGUUAACGUCGCCCCUCAACACAGGGCUGCGAGCGGGGUCUGAUGGGGGGAGUGCGCGCCAGAGAUCUACAAGCAGCCGCCCCCGCAGGCUGAGCGCCCGCCCAACGCCAAGAGUGAUCUGCGACCGAGCAUACUGCGGCUUAGGGAGGCUUGGGUAUAGCAGCGGCCACCAAGCGAUCACCGGCGCUAGGUCUCCCAGGCUCCGGGGCUCCGCGGCUUACGGUGCGGGCGCCCCCCGCCCCUCCCAAAUACGGACCCCUCCUUCCCCGUCCCCGGCUCUCCGCACCUGAACUUCGG
Molecule: long non-coding RNA, 577 nt
Organism: Homo sapiens (human)
Lineage: Eukaryota; Metazoa; Chordata; Mammalia; Primates; Hominidae
Gene: CXXC5-AS1
Product: CXXC5 antisense RNA 1
Source: Ensembl